This 253-nucleotide ribosomal RNA is filed under the name uncultured bacterium. RNAcentral describes it as "partial 16S ribosomal RNA". It matches the Rfam family "Bacterial small subunit ribosomal RNA", at positions 524 to 776 of the family's 1533-position model. The record is from RNAcentral.
UACGUAGGGUGCAAGCGUUAAUCGGAAUUACUGGGCGUAAAGCGUGCGCAGGCGGUUUUGUAAGUCUGUCGUGAAAGCCCCGGGCUCAACCUGGGAAUUGCGAUGGAGACUGCAAGGCUUGAAUCUGGCAGAGGGGGGUAGAAUUCCACGUGUAGCAGUGAAAUGCGUAGAGAUCGGGAGGAACACCUGUGGCGAAGGCGGCCCCCUGGGCCGGCCCUGACGCUGAGACGCGAAAGCGUGGGGAGCAAACAGG